Molecule: ribosomal RNA, 1325 nt
Filed under: metagenome
Description: bacterial LSU rRNA
Rfam family: Bacterial large subunit ribosomal RNA
Source: RNAcentral
AGUGGAUGGGGAGCAACCUAGUUGUGCGUGUGUAAAGGUAGUGCCAAGAAAAGCGGUGAUCAUGAUGAAAAUCAAUUCCCGGUACCCGAAACCGACACAGGUGGGCAAGUAGAGAAUACUAAGGGGCGCGAGGUAACUCUCUCCAAGGAACUCGGCAAAAUGACCCCGUAACUUAGGGAGAAGGGGUGCCACCGAGAGGUGGUCGCAGUGAAGAGGCCCAGGCGACUGUUUAGCAAAAACAUAGGUCUCUGCAAACUCGAAAGAGGAGGUAUAGGGGCUGACGCCUGCCCAGUGCCGGAAGGUUAAAGAAGUUGGUCAUUCUUAGGAUAAAGCUAGCGACUGAAGCCCCGGUGAACGGCGGCCGUAACUAUAACGGUCCUAAGGUAGCGAAAUUCCUUGUCGGGUAAGUUCCGACCCGCACGAAAGGCGUAACGAUCUGGGCGCUGUCUCGGAGAGAGGCUCGGCGAAAUAGGAUUGUCUGUGAAGAUACGGACUACCUGCAUUUGGACAGAAAGACCCUAUGAAGCUUUACUAUAGCUUGGAAUUGUGUUCGGGCUUCCUGUGCGCAGGAUAGGUGGGAGGCGAAGAAGGUAUUCUUGUGGGGAUACUGGAGCCAACGGUGAGAUACCACUCUCAGGAGGCUAGAAUUCUAACUUAAUUAAGGACAGUUUCAGGUGGGUAGUUUGACUGGGGCGGUCGCCUCCAAAAAGGUAACGGAGGCGUACAAAGGUUCCCUCAGACUGGUUGGAAAUCAGUCGCAGAGUGCAAAGGCAGAAGGGAGCUUGACUGCGAGAAGUACAGUUCGAGCAGGGUGGAAACACGGUCUUAGUGAUCCGACGGUGCUGUGUGGAAGGGCCGUCGCUCAACGGAUAAAAGUUACUCUAGGAUAACAGGCUGAUCUCCCCCAAGAGUUCACAUCGACGGGGAGGUUUGGCACCUCGAUGUCGGCUCAUCGCAACCUGGGGCGGAAGUACGUCCCAAGGGUUGGGCUGUUCGCCCAUUAAAGCGGUACGUGAGCUGGGUUCAGAACGUCGUGAGACAGUUCGGUCCAUAUCCGAUGUAGGCGUGAGAAUAUUGAGAGGAGCCUUCCUUAGUACGAGAGGACCGGGAAGGACGCACCGCUGGUGUACCUGUUAUGAUGCCAAUUGUAAACGCAGGGUAGCCAAGUGCGGAGAGGAUAACCGCUGAAAGCAUCUAAGUGGGAAGCCCACCUCAAGAUGAGUAUUCUGGUGUAAGGUCACGGGAAGACGACCCGUAAAUAGGCACGAGGUGGAAGUGCAGAGAUGUAUGAAGCCGAAGUGUACUAAUAGACCGUCGGCUUGACC